AGCACUUCGGGAGGCCGAGAAGGGUGUACCACUUGAGUCCAGGAGUGUAAUAUGAGCCUCGGCAGCAUGGUGAAACCCCGUCUCUACUAAAAAUAGAAAAAUUAGCCAGGCCUGGUGGCGCCUGCCCGUAGUCCCAGCUACUUUUUGGGGGCUGAGGUGAAAGGACCACUUGAGCCUGUGAGGUUGAGGCUGCAGUGAACUGAGAUUGUGCCACUGCAUUCCAGCCUGGGUGACAAAGUGAGAUGAUCCUGUCUCAAAAAUAAAAAUAAAAGAUGCGCACAGAAAGCACAGCAUUAAGUAACUUUCAAAGACAUCUCCAGGGACAUAUAUCAAGCACAUGACAGUAAAAACCUAUGUGGAAAAGUUAGAAAAUUCAAGUGAGGUAAAAAACGGUGGAAAAUAGAGAAAAAUGAGAGGCGAUUUCCAAUGGCGAACUGAGAUGAUGAACUCAAUUCAGUGCACUAUUUCUUCCACUCUUACACUUUACAGGCUAAGAAGCCAUUCCUAGCAUUUCACUGGUAUAAACUCUUCAAAAUGGGAUUCUCAUCCUUUGAUUAUUUUAGGUUGACAAAUUUAUACCAAAAUACUGGGCUUUGUAAAUCGGCGUUUUUAUGACAGGUUUCCUUAAACAGUAUGUCUUUAAAAUAUUAAAUGGUAUCCCUUGUUUGUCUUGUCUUUUCCACAAGCAGAUGAAACUUCCUCCCCAACAAGCCGAUGGAAGAACUUAUGCAGUGUUACUUCAGGGAAGCGACAUGGCAGGGUGGAAGUAAAAUGGACCUGCACAUUUAAAGAAACGUUUUGUUUUGUUUCUUGAAGGGCCCCAGGGGCUUAUAAAGGAGAGGAAGGGGGUGGAGUGUGAGGUUGGUAAAAGCAGCGGAAGCUGGCUUGGCAUCCUGGAGGAGCAGGAAGAGAGUUCAUGUUCCACCUUCCCCUCUUCCCCACUAUUCCACAGGGUCUGGAGGAGAAGAGCAGAGGGGUCUCUGGUUCCCAGGAAAGGGCCUGGGCCAGACUUUCUGAUGGAGACAGCUGGGUGGUGAGUGUCCAGGCAGACAGGACUGAGGCUUGCCUCACAGAAGAUUCUCGCCACUCAAGUGAGGUGCAGAAGCAGCAGCGAGCCAGCACUUCUGAAGGGAACACCUGAGCACAACUCAUUCUUUCUUGAUGAGGCUUUGCUGCUGAGGAGUUCUUGCUAUUAAUACUUCUCUUCCUGCCAAAAAAAAAACCUGGUUCCUGCACAUUUACUGUGAAGGCACGUGAUGGCCCUACAGCACCCCCAGAAAUCAUCAAAAUUUGUACCAAAGAUCCAGAGCAGAGGUGGUGGGUUGCUGAGUGACUGCUCACAGAGGCAAUGUUGGUAGGGUCCUCGCAGAUGUCAGGGUCUUGCUACUCCUCAGUGAGGAGGAGGGAGAUUCCAAAUGGUGGCUAUCACCCAGACCACCUCCCCACAAUGUUCAUGCAGAGGGAAUGAGGCAGAAGAGCCACUGCCUGCCUAGCCACUUACCUCUGAGACUUGGUUUUAUCCUCUGUGUCCCACUCCAGCACUGAUUAUUAGCCUCCUGGUGCUCUAGGAUACAGCAGAGAGAGUUGGCUGGCUGUACUGGGGAGAAUGGGGAUGACAAAAGCCUAUGGAACCAGAUGUGUUGCAUGGGCCAAGAGCCAACUUCCACUUCACCCUGUGAAAUGAUGCUGAAAAUCAACCUGCAAACGGCAGAUGAAUACAAGGAAAGGCAUGCAGAUUUAUUAAUGUAUAUGAGGCAUACAAAAUAUAAGAACUCAAAGGCAAGAUGGCUG
RNAcentral lists this long non-coding RNA (1791 nucleotides) under Pan troglodytes (chimpanzee). RNAcentral describes it as "long non-coding RNA NONPTRT010608". Lineage: Eukaryota; Metazoa; Chordata; Mammalia; Primates; Hominidae. The record is from RNAcentral.